AGAUGGGAGUAGCUAGUAGGUGGGGGAACGGCUCACCUAGGCGACGAUCCCUAGCUGGUCUGAGAGGCUGACCAGCCACACUGGAACUGAGACACGGUCCAGACUCCUACGGGAGGCAGCCGUGGGGACUAUUGCACAAUGGGCGCAAGCCUGAUGCAGCCAUGCCGCGGGUGUGGCGAAGGCCUUCGGGUUGUAAAGCACUUUCAGCGGGGAGGACGGCGUUAAGGUUAAUAACCUUGU
Molecule: ribosomal RNA, 240 nt
Filed under: Klebsiella pneumoniae
Lineage: Bacteria; Pseudomonadati; Pseudomonadota; Gammaproteobacteria; Enterobacterales; Enterobacteriaceae
Description: partial 16S ribosomal RNA
Rfam family: Bacterial small subunit ribosomal RNA
Source: RNAcentral